AACGAACGCUGGCGGCAGGCCUAACACAUGCAAGUCGAGCGCCCCGCAAGGGGAGCGGCGGACGGGUGAGUAACGCGUGGGAAUAUGCCCUUUGCUACGGAAUAGUCUCGGGAAACUGGGGGUAGUACCGUAUACGCCCUUUGGGGGAAAGAUUUAUCGGCGAAGGAUUAGCCCGCGUUGGAUUAGGUAGUUGGUGGGGUAAUGGCCUACCAAGCCGACGAUCCAUAGCUGGUUUGAGAGGAUGAUCAGCCACACUAGGACUGAGACACGGCCCAGACUCCUACGGGAGGCAGCAGUGGGGAAUCUUAGACAAUGGGGGCAACCCUGAUCUAGCCAUGCCGCGUGAGUGAUGAAGGCCUUAGGGUUGUAAAGCUCUUUCAGCUGGGAAGAUAAUGACGGUACCAGCAGAAGAAGCCCCGGCUAACUCCGUG
This 431-nucleotide ribosomal RNA is filed under the name uncultured bacterium. RNAcentral's name for it is "partial 16S ribosomal RNA". It matches the Rfam family "Bacterial small subunit ribosomal RNA", at positions 29 to 507 of the family's 1533-position model. The record is from RNAcentral.